RNAcentral lists this small RNA (30 nucleotides) under Bombyx mori (domestic silkworm). RNAcentral's name for it is "ovarian small RNA-8951". The record is from RNAcentral. Lineage: Eukaryota; Metazoa; Arthropoda; Insecta; Lepidoptera; Bombycidae.
UGUAUGUGCAGUAAGACCUGUUAGGUCGCC